Molecule: RNA transcript, 2273 nt
Organism: Chenopodium quinoa (quinoa)
Lineage: Eukaryota; Viridiplantae; Streptophyta; Magnoliopsida; Caryophyllales; Amaranthaceae
Gene name: protein NCA1-like
Exons: 7
Source: RefSeq, a predicted model, not a curated record
AACAGGAAUAUACAUAUAUAAUGCUGGCAAUUGCAAACAACUUCCCGUUCAAUACCUGAUUACCUGCACAGUUGACAUUUUCACCACCUCCUUUCUUCCUAAAAAAAAUCCUAUCCAAACAAACACCAUUUUCACACUUACUCUCCCCCCGCCAUUUGAACACCAUCCUCCUCUCAUCUCCCUAUUUCAGAUCUGUUAUUUUCAGUGUUGGAACAGAUGACCCCAGUGUGCCCAUUCGUCAAAGCUACUCGUCCUGACGAUGCCUCAUCGAAAAGAAGUGGUGAAAAUAUAUGUAAGCAUGCUGCAGAACAUGAGAGUAAAGCUAAAAGCGAGUCUGUUGAUUCUGGCAUAAUUGAACCUAAGUGUCCUCUUGGAUAUGAUUCUCGUUCAUUCAAAAUUGGCCCUCUCAGCUGUGUGCUAUGCAAAGCCCUUUUGUUUGAGAGCAGUAAAUGUGUGCCCUGCUCCCACAUAUUCUGCAAGGCAUGCAUAUCUCGCUUUAAGGACUGUCCAUUAUGUGGAGCUGAUAUUGAGAAGAUUGAACAUGAUGAAGAAACUCAAAAGGUUGUUGAUAAGUUCAUUGCUGGUCAUGCCAGAAUCAAGAGGUCUCCUGCCAGUACAGAUACCGAGGAGGAAGUUAGCAAAAAUAAAUCUGUGAUUUAUGAAGAUGUCUCAUUAGAGAGAGGUGCUUUUUUGGUUCAACAUGCCAUGAGGAUUUCGUGCUCAGAACGUGGAAAGUGCUAAAUCCAGGCUGUCACUUUGUGCUGCCGAUAUCAGGGAACAAUUAAAGGAAUCUGGUGACAAGCCAGAAUUAUGCUCCCAACUUGGGGCUGUGCUGGGAAUGCUGGGAGAUUGCUGGAUCCAUCGACUUCUAAGCCCUCUGGUAAAGGGAGGGCUGAAGUGAAGGGGAAGAAAAACUCUAAAAAGAAGCAAAAGCAACCCAAGAACCCUGUGAAUGUGGAUGAUGAAUACAAUGGCUCUAGUAAUAACUAUUCUGAUGGAGAUAGUGAAGAAGAGUCGUGCACUUCCUCUGAGUUCAUGAAGAUGAUGAUGGGGUUCAUGAAGAGUAAGAGUCGGAAGAGGAAGAGGCCAAAGUCGGAAGGGCAGAAGGUGUUGAGCGAAGGGGCAGUGUUGAAAACCCAUCAUGAGAACGUCGGAAAGGCAUGAUGUUGCAGCACGUAAUUUUAUUUGGUGCAUGUAACUGAGUAGAGUUUGCGGGGUGGGUACUUAUGUAUACUUCCUCCUUUUGUGUGUAGCAGUACCCCAACAUUGUAUGUAGGGUUGAAUCUUUCUGCAAAGUAGUCAAAGUUUUUGAUCCAAAAAGAUGCGCGUUAGUGACAGAAAUGGGGUUUGAAGAUCUUGACAUGAAAAAUAUACGGAGGCAAUUUUGCUAUUGGUUGAUGACAAGAGUGCUUCCUGAGUUCCUGAUGGAACAAUGGUGUUUGGCGACAGUGAGAUCUUACCCUUAGGUCCUGCUCAAGUGAGGUCCGUACUUGGGUCACCAAUGGGUGCCGAAAAAGCCCGUUUAGAUAUUGGUGAGAAUGAUGAGGAAUAGGUGCAGAAGAUGAGAAGGAUUUUUAAUCUGUAUGGUGUAGGUGCAAACAACGAAACCAUUUCGUUGAAAGUUGCUUUAGAUGCUUUAUGUCCAUUGGAUGAAUCGGGUGAACCAAUUCCCCUUGCAGAUGAAGUUAAAGAAGAGGAUUUCAUGACGACCUUUCUACUAAUAAUUCAAACUUCCCAAAGACACUCAUUCCAGCAUUGACAGUGGGGGCUAUCAAGUAUGACUGGUGUUCGUUGAAUUUUGAAUGGCUAUGCGACACGGCCAACAAAUUUCAAAGGAAGUACCAAAAAGAUGGUUAUAGGUCAGGUUGUGGGGGCAGUUUGCUGUUCGUUAUGAUUUAUUAUCUUGAUCACUUGCAUCGAGUUCCCUUGAAGUGGGGCGUUUACCCGAGGGUGAAGGUGUGGAACAGUGCUGAGGUGAAGGCAGCUGUUCUUGAAGAUACAGUGUCGACCAACAAGUAUGUCAAGCUUUUAGUAAGACAUAAACAGUAAUUGUAUUUGAUUUGUGGGUCGAUAAUUGUGUAUAUAAUAUUUUUUGCGGGUUGAUAGGCCGUUGAUGUUGCGUAUGGGGAGGAGCAUCCCCUAGUACCAAGGGAGAGUGUUGCUGGUGUUAAUAAGAAGGCACCACUAUCAGGGGAUAGGGAUCAGGCUUCGGUGGAUGAUGUCGUUGUAAUACCCUGGAAAUUUCCUUCUUUUAAAAUACUCUUUGUACUCUA